GCUUCUAAUAAAUAAAUAAAUAGAAAUCAGAAUAUGUUGGAAUAGUGUCUAAGGCUGCAACUAUAUUAGGCAAGUAUAUGACCCGGUUGUGCAUGGUCCUUUUGGGUUGCCUUCACUAUAGCAACUUGAUAGGAUGAUUUAUUAAGAGAGAAUAAAUAUUAUUAAUAUAUUUAUGAGAAUAAUAUAAACAAUAAUAAUAUUGUUAUUUGAUUAAUAUAAGUCAUAGAAUAAACUGUCAAUUGUUUGAUAGUUAAACUUUAGACUGUAAAUCCAUAUUGGAUAGAUAGUGGACGGAUUCUAGAAGCUAUGGAUAGCUUCAAAUCGUCCAAGGUUAUCUAAGGAAUGGAUUUGGAUUGCUUUAAGAGAAGAUUAUCCAAUUAGGGUUUAAGUUGUAACCCUUAAGGAGUCUACAAGUAUAAAUAGACCCUAUGGCAAAGGGAAAUCGACACUUCAUCUAAAGUAGAGAACCCCUGGCCGAAUUCCCUCCCCUCUCCUCUCUCCCAAAUCAUCCUCCUUGCUAUUUGGUGUUUGUAAGCCAUUAGAGGAGUGACAAUUGUGACUCUAGAGCUCCAAGACAACAAGAUCAAACAAGAGAUUCAAAGGUAUGAUUCUAGAUCUGAUUUAGUAUUGUUAUUAUUCCUAAUUAGUCAUUAGAAGUCUUGGAUUCAAAGCAUGUUUAUUAGAAAGCCUAGAUCCAAGCAUUAGGGUUUUGCAUGCGCACAUAGGAAAGUUCUUAUGGCUAAAACCCAUCAGUGGUAUCAGAGCCUAGCUUGGUUUUCUGUAAAUUGUUGCUUGAUUAACUGAAACAAACCUGCAAAAUUCGAAUUUUUGGUUUCUGAGUCAUGGACUCGGCGAGUCUCAAAGUGGACUCGGCGAGUAGGCCUGACUCGGCGAGUCCAUUUGUGCACUCGGCGAGUCCAGGCGUCAGGAAUGGCCAGAUUCGGGAUUUCUUUGUGUUUAUCUUAUCUUAACUUACCAUAAACUAAUUAGAUCAACAUUAAUUCGUUUUUCUGAUAAAUAUAACUAUUAUCUUGAUCUAGUUAAAGGUAAUUAUCAACUAAUUAAAUAUUUAAUUUCCUUAUAUGAUAAUUAAUUAAUUAUUUUGAUUAUUUUGGUAAUUAUCUUUAAAAGAAAUCUUGAAUAAAUCAAAUAUAGAUAAUUAGGAUAUUAAUUGUUAAUUGGAAUUAUUUGUUAUUUGAUCCUCCAUGUUUUAAAUGUUUAAAACCUACCCUCAUGUUUUGAAAUUUACUUUUGUGAUUAAAAGUUUUAAUUUAGACAACUUAAAUUUCAAACCCUAGAUUUUAAAAGUUUUAAAAUACAACCCUAUACUAAUAUGAUAUUACUAGAAUAAUAUAUAUAUGUAUAACUAAAUGCUAGUCUUACCGUUAGUAGGCCUCAUUCACGAAGCCGAUCUAUAAGGUGGGUAUAAGGUUGCGGCCUAUAAAAUGGCGCUUAAUGGGUGUACACUCACACCCACCGCUUGCUUGAUUGGUGGAGGGUCGUUAGCCGAACGGGUAGGAUAGGGCAACCUCAUCCUCUCAUUAAAAGUAUAAUAAGAAAUAUAAAGUAACUACACAUUUUUUUAAAAUUUCCCAAUCCUAGUUACUUUAGGAAAAGUGAAUUGAUGCAAUCCCAUGAAAUUACACUUUGCACCUUGCUAAGAUGUUAGUGGAGCGUGUGUGGUUUACCGGCACACUAAUUGGUUCUAAGCGAAGGUGGCAAAGGGUGAUUCAUUGUUUAUCAUAGUUCGAUGGAGCGUGUGUGGUUUACCGGCACAUCGAAUAGGUGAUUGUUACAAUGAAGGCACCAUGUGAAUUUGCAUGGUAAUUCACACCCGCUUUGUGAUCCUCGGCAUCCCAGUCACAAACAAGAGGGGCAUAUCGAGAUUUAAACAUGCCAUUGAAUAGUUUCAAUGAAUCUCAUCCGAACCUAGGAAUUCUCAAAAACACUUAGGACUAAUAGUUUAAGUUUUGUGAUGGAGAAUUAGUGAAUCGUCAUUCACUUACCUUCAAUUUAUUUGCAUGUUAGAUUACGGCAUCCCUUUUCUAGUAUGUAAAUGUUAUUGUUGGAUCCUAGCCCUAAUUUUCUUAUUGGGUGAUAAUUAGGGAUUCUUAUUCUAAUCUAUCUUUGUCCUUUUCUAAUUGUAGAUGUCGAACGCAAACAACGCUGCUGCUAGUUCUUUCACGUUGAUGAGCCUUUGCCAAAAGGUCACCUUCGAUGGAACGAACUUUAGCGAAUGGAUAAGAUACAUUCGCACCAUUGCUCGCUAUGAGGAUAAGGAGUAUGUCCUCGAUGAGAAGCUCGAGAAAAUCAACCCCGAAAUUGCUACUCCCGCCGAAAUCACCGCCUUUGAAACUCAUGAGCGAGAUGCAACGAAGGUACAUUGCAUCAUGAUCGCCACCAUGAACUCCGAAUUCCAAAAGUCCUACGAGGACAUGUACCCGUACGAGAUGCAUCAAGACUUAUUGGAGAGGUACCACCAAAACGCGAGACAAGAGAGGUACGAGAUUUUCACUAACAUGAUUUCCGCGAAGAUGGGUCAUGGAGAAUCUCUUACCGUGCACUUGCAAAAGAUGCAAAGGUAUGUUGACCGCCUCCGCAAGUUAAAUGUUGACUUCGGUGAAGACUUGGCGAUCGACAUGGUGCUUCACUCUUUGCCUCCGAUGUACAACCAAUUUAGGAUGACCUACCACAUGAACAAAGAAGAGGUCACCCUAAGCAAGCUCCAAGGUCUCUUGAGGGUUGCUGAGAGCAACUUCAAGGACAAGUCUGUUGCACCUACUCCCAAUCCGCCCGCUGCUCCUGUCUUGGCUAUUGGACAAGGGAAGGGAAAGAAGAGGAAAGCUUCAUCGAAGAACUAUCGCAAGGUGAAAGCCCGAGAUGGUGCCUCUUCUAGUGGGACCAAAGUUGAUCCCGCCAAGCCCUGCUCUAACCCGAAGGAGGCAGAGUGCCACCACUGCCACAAGAUAGGACAUUGGAAGAGAAGCUGCCCGGAUUACCUGCAAGCAAUCAAAGAAGGAAAGAUCAAGCCAUCUUUCGCAGGUAUAUAUACAAUCAAAUCUAACGAUUCUAAUCAUGCUAUUUCUUGGGUUCUUGAUACCGGUUGUGGUUAUCACAUUUGUUCUAAUGUGCAGGGACUAAGAAGAAGUAGGGAUGUGGAGCAAGGAAGGAUCAAUCUAAUCAUGGGGAACAGAAGAUCGUCGCCUGUGACCAAGAUUGGAGUGUAUUCUUUAGUGCUUAGGAAUAGUUUGGUUUUAGAUUUGAACAAUUGUUGCUAUUCGCCAGAAAUGGCUAGAAACAUCAUUUCAUUUCAUGGUUUAUAUAGACAAGGAUUUAGAUUUUCUUUUAAUAAUGAGAAUGGUUCUAUUUUGGCUUAUCUAAAUGGUGUCUUUUACUUUGAAGCUAUACCAUGUAAUGGAAUAUAUGAAACCGUUAUGAUUGUUGAUAACUUAGGAAAUGAUGUUUUGAAUAUUGAUUCUUCCACUAGUAUGGAUAAAGCAUCCUUGUGGCAUUGUCGUCUUGGACAUGUCAACAAGAAACGCAUAGCCCAACUCCAAAAGGAUGGAGUGUUGGAGUCAUUCGACCUUAGGGAAGAUGACACAUGCGAGUCUUGUUUGCUUGGAAAGAUGACUAAGUCACCCUUCACGAGUACAUGUGAAAGGGGCGAGGGUCUAUUGGACCUAAUACAUACCGAUGUAUGUGGACCGUUUAGAUCAACCACGAAGGAUGGGAACCGCUUCUAUGUGACUUUUACCGAUGACUAUAGUAGAUAUGGGUAUAUCUACUUAAUCAAGCAAAAGUCAGAAACCUUUGAAAAGUUCAAAGAGUUCAAGAAUGAAGUGGAGAAUCAAUUGGGCAGGAAAAUCAAGAUGCUUCGAUCCGAUCGAGGAGGAGAGUACCUAAGUCUUGAAUUCCACGAUUAUCUCAAGGAGUGUGGAAUAGUUUCGCAAUUGACGCCUCCUAGGACACCGCAGUUGAAUGGUGUGGCAGAAAGGCGUAAUCGAACCUUAUUGGAUAUGGUUCGCUCUAUGAUGAGUCGUGCUUCACUACCUAUCUCUUUUUGGGGGUAUGCCUUAGAGACUGCCGCCCAUAUCCUUAACCGAGUCCCUACUAAGAAGGUUGCCAAAACACCUCACGAGAUGUGGACAGGGAAAGCUCCCUCGUUGGCACAUAUCAAGGUUUGGGGUUGCGAGGCUUUCGUAAGACGAGAUACUCACGACAAGCUUGAACCUCGAAGUGAGCGAUGUAUUUUCAUCGGCUACCCGCAGACAUCCUUUGGAUAUCUCUUCUAUAGACCGAAGGACAAUGUUGUCUUCGUUGCGAGGAGAGGAGUUUUCCGAGAGCGAGAACUCAUAAGCCAAGGAGACAGUGGGAGGCAAAUCGAGCUUGAAGAGAUUCAAGAGUCGAUAGAUGAAGGAACCUCUACCGCUGGCACUCAACCCGAGGAGGAAACUCCGGUUGAACCGAUUGACGAAUCCUUACCUCUUAGACGUUCCGAUAGAGUUAGAGUUCAACCCCAGUUUUAUGGUUUUCAUAUUACUACCGAAGGGGACACGUAUAUUAGUGAUGGUACACUAAUAAAUCUUGAUGAACCUAAUAGCUAUAAGGAAGCCAUGGCAGGCCCGGAGUCUGCAAAAUGGAAAGAGGCAAUGGAUAGCGAGAUCCAAUCCAUGUAUGAUAACCAAGUUUGGAAUUUGGUUGAUUAUGUGCCCGGACGUAAGACCGUUGGGUGCAAAUGGAUCUUCAAGAAGAAGACCGACGUGGAUGGAAACGUACACACAUAUAAAGCGCGAUUGGUUGCGAAGGGCUUUACUCAAACUCCCGGAGUUGACUAUGAUGAGACCUUCUCACCAGUUGCGAAGAUUAAAUCUAUUAGAGUGAUGCUAGCAAUUGCCGCAUUUCAUGAUUAUGAGAUUUGGCAAAUGGAUGUCAAGACCGCUUUCCUUAACGGAAAGUUGGCUGAGGAUGUUUACAUGGCUCAGCCAGAGGGGUUUGUGGAUCCGAAGCAUCCGAAUAGAGUGUGUAAGCUUGAGAAGUCCAUUUAUGGACUUAAGCAAGCGUCUCGCAGAUGGAAUCUUUGCUUCGAUGAGAAAGUCAAAGAGUUUGGAUUUGUACGAAGCGAAGACGAAUCUUGUGUAUAUGUCAAAGCCAGUGGGAGUAUAGUAAGCUUCCUCGUUCUAUAUGUCGAUGACAUAUUACUCAUAGGAAACGACAUCCCGACUCUGCAGGAGGUUAAGUCCUGGCUCGGGAAGUGCUUCGCUAUGAAGGACCUCGGAGAGGCUUCUUACAUUUUGGGAAUAAGGAUAGUAAGAGAAAGAAGUAAGAGACUAAUUGGACUUAGUCAGAAUACUUACUUAGAGAAGGUACUAAAACGUUUUAGUAUGGAAAACUCAAAGAAGGGAGAACUACCGAUACAAAGUAAUGCCAAAUUGAGUAAGACUCAAAGUCCGAGUACCGAAGCUGAGAUAGCAGAAAUGAGCCGAGUACCAUACGCUUCCGCAGUUGGCUCAAUCAUGUACGCUAUGACUUGUACUCGCCCUGAUGUAGCCUUCGCUUUGAGCAUGGUUAGCAGAUAUCAAGGGAAUCCUGGCAGAGCACAUUGGAUUGCGGUGAAGAAUAUCCUUAAGUACCUUCGGAGGACGAAGGAAUGGUUCUUAGUCCUCGGAGGGAGUGAUGACUUGAAGGUGCGAGGGUAUAGUGACGCCAGUUUUCAGACCGACAGGGACAACUACCGUUCGCAGUCGGGCUGGGUCUUUACCCUAAAUGGAGGAGCAGUGACAUGGAAGAGUUCCAAGCAGGAAACCGUAGCUGAUUCAACGUGCGAAUCAGAGUACAUUGCAGCGAGCGAAGCGUCGAAGGAGGCAAUAUGGCUAAAGAACUUCAUCGGUGAUCUUGGAGUUGUACCUGCCAUAAAGGAGCCCAUGGAGAUUUUCUGUGAUAACGAAGGAGCGGUUGCCUUGACCAAGGAACCGAGGGAUCAUGGUAGAUCAAGACAUAUCGACAGAAAAUAUCACUUCAUUAGACAUCGUGUAGAAGAAGGACAACUCGUAGUGAAGAGGAUAUCAUCAGAAGAUAACCCAGCAGAUCCGCUUACGAAGGGACUGAGUAGGGUUAAGCACUUGCAGCAUGCUAGGAGUAUUGGGCUGAAGGAUGAUAUUAGCAUAGAUUAGAUAGUAUUAGAAACGUGUAAUAGAUAAAUGUAAUUAACAUUUGAUGAUUAAAUAAAGGAGUUUUAUUUAUGAGUAAUGUUACUAUCUUAUGUUAAUUGUUUAACUAUUGUUUCACUUUGCAUGUUUUGACUUCCAGAAUAAUUGAGUUUAUUAGGAAUAAUCGAAUUGUUCAAAUUGUCCACAAUCGUUCAUAUGUUGGAAGUAGAUAUGAAUGAAGAUUGUCAUGAAUUGGUGUGUAGAUUGUCUAAAUGGUGUUAGACAUAGCAAAGGGUUGCUGCAACGUUCAUGAGUGCUUAUGAACUAGUUUUGAGCAUUGGAACAAACCCGCGCUUGCUGGAAUCACCUUAUGGAAUAUGAUAUAAAAGGGUGAUCGCAAGACGAUAAUAUCAUAUAGUCUUAAAACCUAGAUAUAUGGUUUGUUAUUUGUUAAUUGAUUGUACAUUGAUAAUGCGAAAACGCAUCAGUAACUCGGUGUUAUAAAACGUAUUGUUGUGUAUAGUUGGUUAAUGAAUAAGUAAAUGCAUAUAAGUCGAAGUUUAUCUGUAACUUUUAUCUAAGAAGGUAAAAGCGAUAUCUCGGCCGCUCGAUGAUUUGAUUUGACUUAUGUGCCGGGCCCGGUCAGAACUGAAUUGAUGUGUUCGAUUAAGUUCUAUGUCAAAUAAAUCAGAGAUCGAGAAACCUAAAUGCUUGACUAAUCAUUCCAUAGAAUUGUCAGCAUGAUAUCUAACAGAGGACUGUACGAUCCCUUAUCUAAAGGACAAGAUUGAUUAGAUCAGAGUUUGACAGCGUCUUUGAGAGCUACGAUUGCAAACCGAAUUGUACUUGUGCAUAUAGUUACUAGACUUAUCCAAGUGGGAGACUGUUGGAAUAGUGUCUAAGGCUGCAACUAUAUUAGGCAAGUAUUUGACCCGGUUGUGCAUGGUCCUUUUGGGUUGCCUUCACCAUAGCAACUUGAUAGGAUGAUUUAUUAAGAGAGAAUAAAUAUUAUUAAUAUAUUAUGAGAAUAAUAUAAAGAAUAAUAAUAUUGUUAUUUGAUUAAUAUAAGUCAUAGAAUUAAUUAGAAUUAAUUUGGUGACUUAAAGAGAUUAAUUAAAUAAGAGGGUAUAAACUGUCAAUUGUUUGAUAGUUAAACUUUAGACUGUAAAUCCAUAUUGGAUAGAUAGUGGACGGAUUCUAGAAGCUAUGGAUAGCUUCAAAUCGUCCAAGGUUAUCUAAGGAAUGGAUUUGGAUUGCUUUAAGAGAAGAUUAUCCAAUUAAGGUUUAAGCUGUAACCCUUAAGGAGUCUACAAGUAUAAAUAGACCCUAUGGCAAAGGGAAAUCGGCACUUCAUCUAAAGUAGAGAACCCCUGGCCGAAUUCCCUCCCCUCUCCUCUCUCCCAAAUCAUCCUCCUUGCUAUUUGGUGUUUGUAAGCCAUUAGAGGAGUGACAAUUGUGACUCUAGAGCUCCAAGACAACAAGAUCAAACAAGAGAUUCAAAGGUAUGAUUCUAGAUCUGAUUUAGUAUUGUUCUUAUUCCCAAUUAGUCAUUGGAAGUCUUGGAUUCAAAGCAUUUUUAGUUAGAAAGCCUAGAUCCAAGCAUUAGGGUUUUGCAUGCGCACAUAGGAAAGUUCUUAUGGCUAAAACCCAUCAGAAUAUAGUAAUUUACCUUUUGAUUUUUUAAACUUCAAACAACUCAAGAAUUAGAAUCUUCAAAACCUAGAAGCUGGAUUGACAAAUUUUUGAUUCUGAUAUCAAGAAAAUAGGAAUCAUAAUAAAUGAAUGAAAGGGAAAAACAAAUUUACUUAAAAUUUUGAGAUGAUAUUUGUGAGAAUAUACCAUUGUUUUCAAAUCUUGAUUUCUUCUUAUUAAAAAAAAUAUGAAUUCAACAAAAAAGAAACUUAAAUUAUU
Molecule: long non-coding RNA, 8057 nt
Filed under: Lactuca sativa (garden lettuce)
Lineage: Eukaryota; Viridiplantae; Streptophyta; Magnoliopsida; Asterales; Asteraceae
Description: long non-coding RNA (LSAT_LNC009207)
Source: RNAcentral